CUGCCCUGCAACACCACCAGCACUUUUGGAGAUUCGGCAUCGGCUCCUCUAUCUAGUCGGCACCUCCCGCUCCCUCCAGAUUCUUCAAGUACUCAACACACCGCCCUAUUAGUGCAGCGAAAGAACACCACCAGCUGCCGUAGAACUGCCUGCCUCACUGCCCUGCAACACCACCAUCUGCCGUAGAACUGCCUGCCUCACUGCCCUGCAACACCACCAGCUGCCGUAGAACUGCCUGCCUCACUGCCCUGCAACACCACCAGCUGCCGUAGAACUGCCUGCCUCACUGCCCUGCAACACCACCAGAGCUUUUGGAAAUUCGGCUCCUCUAUCUAGUCGGCACCUCCUGCUCCCUCCAGAUUCUUCAAGUAAGUUAUGAAUAAAGGGAUAUUCCUUGCUUUUCAUUGGCGGCAGGGGACUGAAAGGGAAUGGCUGUCUCCAUUUGAACAGUAAAAAGCAACUCAGACACAGGGGGAAGAUAGAAUCUCCUAGAGCUCCAUGAGGCGUGAGAACCUUGCUUCUGGGGCAGCAUUGCUGAGGCGGGGCAAUGACCAGACGUUGGACCUUCAUGGAGCGACUCGGUCAAAGGUUGAACCUUUUGAGAGGAGCUUGAACUGAUAAUUCUGACUGGCUGAAAAGCACUGCCCUAAGGCAUUUCUGGAGUUAAUGGACUGCGUAUUCCCCAUUUUCCAGCAACAAUAUGGCAUGUGUGGAGUUAAUGGAAUGCUAAUUGCCCUUUUUCCAAGGAUCGUACCGGCAUGUGUGGAGUUAAUGGAA
Long non-coding RNA from Xenopus tropicalis (tropical clawed frog), 777 nucleotides. RefSeq lists it as uncharacterized. Lineage: Eukaryota; Metazoa; Chordata; Amphibia; Anura; Pipidae. The record is from RefSeq and is a predicted model, not a curated record. The transcript has 6 exons.